RNAcentral lists this ribosomal RNA (225 nucleotides) under uncultured soil bacterium. RNAcentral describes it as "partial 16S ribosomal RNA". It matches the Rfam family "Bacterial small subunit ribosomal RNA", at positions 26 to 244 of the family's 1533-position model. The record is from RNAcentral.
AGAGUGAACGCUGGCGGCAGGCCUAACACAUGCAAGUCGAACGGCAGCACAGUAAGAGCUUGCUCUUAUGGGUGGCGAGUGGCGGACGGGUGAGGAAUACAUCGGAAUCUGCCUAUUUGUGGGGGAUAACGUAGGGAAACUUACGCUAAUACCGCAUACGACCUACGGGUGAAAGCGGAGGACCUUCGGGCUUCGCGCAGAUAGAUGACGCCGAUGUCGGAUUAG